Molecule: non-coding RNA, 42 nt
Filed under: Escherichia coli
Lineage: Bacteria; Pseudomonadati; Pseudomonadota; Gammaproteobacteria; Enterobacterales; Enterobacteriaceae
Also listed under: 10 other names
Description: ES036 (CssrF) sRNA
Rfam family: ES036 (CssrF) sRNA
About the family: Differentially expressed under several chemical stress conditions. Also identified in Shigella as CssrF.
Source: RNAcentral
AAGUUCGUGCAAAUUCAAUAAAUUGCAAUAUGACGUAGGCCU